Scylla paramamosain (green mud crab) is the source of this 4492-nucleotide long non-coding RNA. RefSeq lists it as uncharacterized. The transcript is spliced from 3 exons. Lineage: Eukaryota; Metazoa; Arthropoda; Malacostraca; Decapoda; Portunidae. The record is from RefSeq and is a predicted model, not a curated record.
UACUGUCUACUUCACGUCUCCACGACAGUAUACGGUAGCUUCCUUCGAAUUCCGCUGCGAACACAUCACACUCACUCCUUUGUAUACCACACGUGUCUUUAUUCUUUCUUCUACACCCAUACCAAGAUUGUGUGUUUGUGUCUUGUCUUCAGUUAAAAAAAGUUCUCGCUAGCUACUGCAGAAAAAGGAGGAGGAAGAGAUAGUGUCUGUGUGUGAAUAACUGAGGGAUAGCAAGUGGGAGAAUAAGAACAGUGAAGAAUAAAAAGACACGUAAACCAGCACAACACGGAGGACAAACAAAUGAGGAAGAGGUAGUGAGUCUGUGUGUGAAUGAAUAACUGGGGCAUACCAAGUGAAGAAGACGAAGGAGGAGGAGGAGCAAGAAAAAUAAUUAAAGAGUUUGUGUGUGUGGGUAACUGUGACAUAAGAUGUGAACAAGAACUGUGCAUAAGGCAAACCAGUGGAACAUAACAAAACUAAAGACUCAUAAGAAGACGAUGAAGUAGAAGGAGUUUGAGUGUGUGUGGGUAACAGUGACAUAAGACGUGAACAAGAACAGUAAAUGAGGCAAACCAUUGGAACAUUACAAAACUAAAGACUCAUAAGAAGUAGGAGGAGAAAGGAAAAUUAAUUAUUGAGUGUGUGUGGAUAACUGUGGCAUUAAUAAAAUAAUAAGAACAUUAAAAUAUAACAAUAGUGAAAUAAUACAACAAACAAACAAAAGACAAAAAAUAACAAUAAGAAACAGAAAGAAAAAGAAGAAGGUAGUGAGAAUCUGUGUGAAUAACCGUACACAGAAGAAGAAAGAAAACGAAGAAAGAAAGAAAAGAGAAAACAACAGAAAGAAAAACGAAGAAAACAAGAUAAAAAAGAAAAAAAAAAAGAUAAAGGAGAAGAAAGUACAAGAUAAAGAAAGAACAAAAAUAAAACGAAGGAGAAGGAAGGACGGAAGGAAGGACAAAAAGACGAAGGAAAGAAGAAAGGACACAAACCAAUUCUCAACACCCACCACCACCACUAAAAUUUCCGCACCCUCAGUCACUGACCAACAGUUGUGAGACGUACUGCUCAUAGUUGCUGUCCAUUAUUAGCGUGGUACAUAGACUGUGGCCGCUGAGACUUGCAGAAAUGGGGAAGUGGGCCAGAUAUUCUAAGUGGUUCCAGUGUAGUUGGUUGAAAGAACCACAGUUUGAAAAGUGGCUUGUAGAAGUGAAACAUGAUGAUAAAAAAGCUUACUGUAAAGUGUGCAAAGCCGAACUCAGGGCACAUAAAAGUGAUCUGAAAAAACACAGUGAAACUGAGAAGCACAUUCAAAACAUGAAGAAAAUUCCUAGUGCUAAGCAAAUGAGUGUGAAAAGUCUCUUUCAGAAAGUUGACACAAAUAAGAAAUCUGAGAUUAAAUUGUCAGUUUACGUUGCUUGCCACUCUUCCAUUCAGUCAGUUGACCAUUUAAGUGAGUUAUGGAAUGAUCUGCCGUGUACUUCAAGUACUGAAAAGUUGCGGUUGCACAGAACAAAAUGUAGUGCACUUAUCAAAAAAGUAAUUUCACCAGCUUUACUUGCAGAGCAAGUUAGUGAUCUGAAAAAUUCUCCAUUUUCACUUAUAUUGGAUGAGUCUACUGAUAUCGCAUGCGCAAAACAUUUGUGCGUAUGUGUCAGGUACUACAAUGUAAGGCUUAACAAAGUUGUGUCGCAAUUCCUAGGGCUUAUACCAGUCACAAGUGCAACAGCUGAAGCAAUAUAUCAGCAUGUGAAAGACUACUUUAAUGAAAUUGGAGUCAAUUUAAAUCACUGCUUUGCCAUAGGGACUGAUGGAGCUUCCAGCUUGUGUGGACAACACCACUCAUUCUACACACUUUUGAAAAAGGAUAUUCCAGAUUUAGUGUUAGUGAAGUGUGUCUGCCAUUCUCUGCAUCUGGUAUGCAGCCAUGCUUCAGAGAAAAUGCCAUCAAAUAUAGAUUAUAUGCUAAGAGAAACAUACAACUGGUUUCAUAGAUCAGCAAUCAGACGUGAAGCAUACCUUGACAUAUACAAACUGCUUAAUGAUGGUAAUGAGCCCCUACAGUUAGUACCUCUUUCUGGGACUAGAUGGCUAGCCAGAAGCAACAGUGUGAAAAGAGUUCUGGAUCAGUGGGAUGUUUUGAAGACACAUUUUGAAAUAGCUUCUUCAUCUUGUGGUAAAUAUCUAGCAAGGGAACUUCAUUCAAUGUAUGCUGAUCAUUCAAAUGAGUUGUAUUUCACUUUCUUGAAACCUGUUCUAAGUCAGUUUGAAAAGAUCAACCUUCUCUUUCAAAAAGAAGCAGCAGACCUUUGCAGUCUCUUGAAUGAAUUGGAAAAUCUAACAUUUUCAGUGCUCAGAAGAAUAAUUUAUCCAACGAGUGUAAAACUUGAUGUGGAUAUGAAUUUUAAGUCCAUUUUUCUUCCACUUGAAAAAGUAGACUUUGGGUACGAGUUUACUGUGCUUUUGGAAAACAAGAGGAAGAUGAACUUGAUUUCAGAGGAAAACAAGCAUGCCAUACAAGCUAGAUGUCACGCGUUUCUCGUAAAAGCAUCUGAAGAACUUCUUGCUCGUGUCCCACGUAACAUUGCAACCUUGAAACAGAUAAAAAAUCUAUCACCAGCAAUAUGUUUGAGCCACACAAGACCUCCAUUUUCUGAGCUUCCAUUAUCUCUGGCUGAACAAGCAAAACUCCCUGAGAUUGAAAACCAGUGGCGAACAGCCUUACAUACUGAUUGGCAUCAAAUAAUUGAAGGUGACAUACCUCAGGAUGGUUCAGUGUUCUGGUCCAAAUCUGCUACAUUAAAAAAAUGCAGGUGGAGAACUCAUUAUGAAAGACCUGGCAGAAUUUGCUCUGAAAGUGUAUAGCCUUCCUAUUAGUAAUGCCUUAGUAGAGCGCGUAUUUUCAAAAGUAACUGCAGUUAAAACUAAAGUGAGAAAUCGUAUGGGUUUAGGACUCUUAACUUCUAUUCUACGAAUCAAAACCUCCCUGAAAGAAAAAGGCAUGUGCUGCAAUACAUUUGAGCCUCCAGUGUCCAUGCUGCAUUAUGAUUCAUCUAUAUAUAAGGAUGAAAAAAUAGAGGAGGACGAGGAAAACCUGCUACAAUCAUUGCAGCUGAUCUAAGAAAAUCUCUGGCCUCCUGCUUUUGCAGGAGGGUUGGGAACGAGCCCCUCCAGUGGUGUGCUGUUAACUUCACGUCCUGGGUAUCCAUCCCCCUGAUAUGAGGGACGGAGGACGCGAAGACGUUCCACGGUCUGGAGACUCGCCCCCAAAAGGUGGGCCGGUGUUGGCUGGAGCGGGAACGCGGCACUUCCACCGAGUCACCACCGGAUGACACCGUGGAGCUUGCUGAUGUGUGUGGCAGCACAGGACAUCCAGGAGAGGGCGGAAUACUCUAAAUAAGGCCGUAUCUGGCCCUUGUAGAGCAACAGCCUCCCUCUCAUGUCCAGCAAGUUGGCCACCCUCCUCUCUCUUUCUCUCUCUCAUUUUUAUAGUGAUAAUAAUACAAGUUACCUUUUUCAUUUUCUUUAUUUCAUUCAUUUUUUUUUGUAACAAGACUAAAAAAUAUACUCAAUUUGAUAAUAAUAAUAAUAAUAAUAAUAAUAAUAAUAAUUCUGUAAACUAUUACAUAUAUUUUCUAUUAAUUUCUAUAUAUUCUAUUUUCUUAACAGGCACUUCCUCCCACACACAAGGUCACUCUUAUCCAACUCACACAGCCUCCCCCUGACCCCCUCACACCCUUCAACACCCCCUCACACCCCGUCAACACCCCCUGACACCCUCACACCAGGCCGAACCCUUCACUCUGCUGUACGGCCUGUAGAAGUUUGUAUUUCAGCUUCUCUUUGGUGUUGUAUUUUGGCAGGUUGAGUUGGGUGAUGCAGGUGUGUGCGACCGGAAGGAAGCUGUCGUCUGCUGUGCUUUGGAUCAUCAACUUGAGUGCCUGAGAGAGAGAGAGAGAGAGAGUUUAUAAGAGAAAAAGAAAGAGAGGGAGAAAAUAUUGAGGAAUGACUGAGAAGAAAGGAAGGAAGGAAGAGGAGGAAGGAAGGAAGGAAGGAAGGAAGGAAGGAAGGAAGGAAGGAAGGAAGAAAAGAGGACAAGAAGGAAGAGAAAAGGAGGACACUCUCUCUCUCUCUCUCUCUCUCUCUCUCUCUCUCUCUCUCUCUCUCUCUCUCUCUCUCUCUCUCUCUCUCUCUCUCUCUCUCUCUCUCUCUCUCUCUCCCACAGACCCACAGGAUGUCCCCCCACAGGAUGUUGACAAACCCCACAGUCACUCCCCUCAGCCCCUCUCUCUCUCUCUCUGUCUCUCACCUACCUUCAUGCCCAGAAUAGGAACCCUGUCAGUGCCCGUCAGGAACUUCAAAAACAACUUCUUCUGCUCCAGGGAGAGUUUGUGAAAUACUUCCCAGAACGUGCGUAUGACCGGGUGGUCUGGGAAACAUUUGCCCUGGAAACACCGACAGAAAUCAAUAAACAGAAGGAUAUUAGUGUGAA